Molecule: long non-coding RNA, 844 nt
Organism: Carya illinoinensis
Lineage: Eukaryota; Viridiplantae; Streptophyta; Magnoliopsida; Fagales; Juglandaceae
Exons: 2
Source: RefSeq, a predicted model, not a curated record
UUUGAAAUUCAGCUUGUCUGACUCAAAAGAAAACUAGGAAAGAUAGGAUUAAUAGUACAUGCAGAACUUGCCAAACUGACUUGCCACUUGCCACCAUUUCACCCUCUCGUUGAGCUCAUCCUCAACACAUGUCAAUCAAGCUGGGUUCUGCAUCAACAGCCAACUAAGUUCUGCAUGGGUUGUUAUGACACCACAUUUAUGUGUUGUGUCAUGGAAGAGGCUACCUUACUGUUCAAAUCUCCGGUCAGCAAUUUAUGAGAACCAUUAAAUAUUGAUCCAACAUAAAAAGAAAUCAGACAAAAUGAAUUCCAAAACUUGUAUAUUCUUCGGCUUUCACCUUGCAGUUGUUCUUCUCAUCUCUUCGGCUGUAGUGGCAGAGACAUCCAACGAUGUGAACAAACGUACCCCGAAUAUGCUAUAUCUAAAUUGUUGCAAAUCACCAAGACAUAUGCAAGAGCAGCUGCCCAACAGGAAUGUUUAUGCUUGCAGAGGUAACGAAAGUUGGAGCAAUUGCUCAUCCAACCCACUGACCUGAAAGCAACAUACAAACAAUGGAGUAGAGUGAUUGUGAAGAGCAACCAGCUAGUGCAACGUUGAUGACCAAGUAGAAAUGGAACAUUUGGCAACUAUAAGAUCAGCCAAGAACAAUUAGUAAAAAAUAUCAGAGCAAAAAACAAAAGAGAAAUAUAUCAAAACAGAUUAUAGCUUGAUAUAUGUAUGGUAAAAAAAGUAAUAUAGUUUUAAUUUUAAGAGCAACAAAUAACAUGCAAAUGUUUUGUAGGACCUUGAAAGCAAAUAACAUUAGUUUAAGACAUUUUGGUAACAUAACCAAAAGUUAAAACCU